RNAcentral lists this ribosomal RNA (458 nucleotides) under uncultured Cellulomonas sp. RNAcentral describes it as "bacterial SSU rRNA". It matches the Rfam family "Bacterial small subunit ribosomal RNA", at positions 923 to 1382 of the family's 1533-position model. Lineage: Bacteria; Bacillati; Actinomycetota; Actinomycetes; Micrococcales; Cellulomonadaceae. The record is from RNAcentral.
GCACAAGCGGCGGAGCAUGCGGAUUAAUUCGAUGCAACGCGAAGAACCUUACCAAGGCUUGACAUACACCGGUAACGCCCAGAGAUGGGUGCCCCUUUGUGGUCGGUGGACAGGUGGUGCAUGGUUGUCGUCAGCUCGUGUCGUGAGAUGUUGGGUUAAGUCCCGCAACGAGCGCAACCCUCGUCCUAUGUUGCCAGCGGGUCAUGCCGGGGACUCAUGGGAGACUGCCGGGGUCAACUCGGAGGAAGGUGGGGAUGACGUCAAAUCAUCAUGCCCCUUAUGUCUUGGGCUUCACGCAUGCUACAAUGGCCGGUACAAAGGGCUGCGAUACCGCGAGGUGGAGCGAAUCCCAGAAAGCCGGUCUCAGUUCGGAUUGGGGUCUGCAACUCGACCCCAUGAAGUCGGAGUCGCUAGUAAUCGCGGAUCAGCACGCCGCGGUGAAUACGUUCCCGGGCCUU